This 1003-nucleotide long non-coding RNA is filed under the name Sus scrofa (pig). RNAcentral describes it as "lncRNA (ENSSSCG00070022466.1)". The record is from RNAcentral. Lineage: Eukaryota; Metazoa; Chordata; Mammalia; Artiodactyla; Suidae.
AUGUGUGUGUGUGUGUGUGUGUGUGUGCACGUGCAUUCCUGUGGAUUUGUGUGUAUGUGGAUUUGUUUAUGUGUGUGUGCAUUCCUGUGGAUUUGUGUGUAUGUGGAUUUGUGUGUGUGUGUGCAUUCCUGUGGAUUUGUGUGUAUGUGGAUUUGUGUGUGUGUGUGUGUGCGUGCAUUCCUGUGGAUUUGUGUGUAUGUGGGUUUGUGUGCAUGUGUAUGUGUUCCUGUGGAUUUGCGUGUAUGUGGGUUUGUGUUGUGUGUGCGCGUUCCUGUGGAUUUGUGUGUAUGUGGGUUUGUGUGUGUGUGUAUGCAUUCCUGUGGAUUUGUGUGUGUGUGUGUGCGUUCCUGUGGAUUUGUGUGUAUGUGGGUUUGUAUGUGUGUGUGUGUGUGUGCGUGUGCAUUCCUGUGGAUUUGUGUGUAUGUGGAUUUGUGUGUGUGUGUGUGUGUGUGCAUUCCUGUGAAUUUGUGUGUAUGUGGGUUUUUUUUGGUGUGUGUGUGUAUGUGCAUUCCUGUGAAUUUGUGUGUAUGUGGGUUUGUGUGUGUGUGUGCGUUCCUGUGGAUUUGUGUGUAUGUGCGUUCCUGUGGAUUUGUGUGUAUGUGGGUUUGUUUGUGUGUGUGUGUGCGUUCCUGUGGAUUUGUGGGUUUGUGUGUGUGUGUGUGUGUGUGUGCGUGUUCCUGUGGAUUUGUGUGUAUGUGGGUUUGUGUGUGUGUGUGUGUGCGUUCCUGUGGAUUUGUGUGUAUGUGGGUUUGUGUGUGUGUGCGUGAGUUCCUGUGGAUUUGUGUGUAUGUGGGUUCGUUUAUGUGUGUGCACAAGCGUAGGAACACAGUCGCUCUCCGGGGCUUAGCAAAGAGCUGGCCGCGCCUGCUGCGUGUCGAGGCUCCACGCCCUCAGUCCAGUUGUAAGACGGACGAAAGUGCUCUGCUGACAAAGUGAGCGGAGAGUGAGGUGUGCAGUGAGAGGUUGGAGGUUUUCACUCAUCACUUUAUGUUGUGUUCCCCCC